This 775-nucleotide ribosomal RNA is filed under the name uncultured Neocallimastigales. Its description in RNAcentral is "partial large subunit ribosomal RNA". It matches the Rfam family "Eukaryotic large subunit ribosomal RNA", at positions 23 to 644 of the family's 3401-position model. The record is from RNAcentral. Lineage: Eukaryota; Fungi; Neocallimastigomycota; Neocallimastigomycetes; Neocallimastigales.
AUAGAGACUCAGAGCUGCAUAUCAAUAAGCGGAGGAAAAGAAACUAACUAGGAUUCCCUUAGUAACGGCGAGUGAAGCGGGAAGAGCUCAAAUUUGAAAUCUUCAAGGUUCUACCUUGACGAAUUGUAGUUUAAAGAAGUGUUUUCUGUUGGAGUUUUGGUAAAAGUUCUCUGGAAUAGGACAUCAUAGAGGGUGAGAAUCCCGUAUUUGACCAUUUCUUCCAGCUGUGUGAUACACUUUCAAAGAGUCGGAUUGUUUGGGAAUGCAGUCCAAAAUGGGUGGUAAAUUUCAUCUAAAGCUAAAUAUUGGCGAGAGACCGAUAGCGAACAAGUACCGUGAGGGAAAGAUGAAAAGAACUUUGAAAAGAGAGUUAAACAGUACGUGAAAUUGUCAAAAGGGGAGCGUUUGACACCAGUGUUGUUUUUCCGAAAAUCAAUUACGAAUGUUUUGUUUUUGAGGAGUUAUGACUUCAUCGGCUUGCUCCUUUCUUUACGAAACUUUCUUAAUGCACUUUUCGGUUAACAAGUCAACAUCAAUUUCUUUUGUUGUAAAAGGGUAUGAGGAAGGUGGCUUUCUUUUCGGAGAAAGUGUUUAUAGCCUUGUGCCUCUGCAAUCGGAGAGAUUGAGGUCUGCAGCGUAGAUCCUUCGGGGUUAGAUACAUUUGUGCUAAGUUAUAGCUUUUCAUAGACGACUUGUUGACUUAUGUUUAGUCUUGUAGCUUACUCGCUUAUGCUAUUUUACCUACGCUUAGGAUGUUGAUAGUCACAGCGUGUAC